ACGAAGGUGGCAAGCGUUGUUCGGAUUUACUGGGCGUACAGGGAGCGUAGGCGGUUUGGUAAGCCCUCCGUGAAAUCUUCGGGCUCAACCCGGAAAGUUCAGAGGGGACUGCCAGGCUAGAGGACGGGAGAGGAGCGCGGAAUUCCCGGUGUAGCGGUGAAAUGCGUAGAGAUCGGGAGGAAGGCCGGUGGCGAAGGCGGCGCUCUGGAACGUUUCUGACGCUGAGGCUCGAAAGCGUGGGGAGCAAACAGGAUUAGAAACCCCUGUAGUCC
This 272-nucleotide ribosomal RNA is filed under the name uncultured bacterium. RNAcentral's name for it is "partial 16S ribosomal RNA". It matches the Rfam family "Bacterial small subunit ribosomal RNA", at positions 525 to 796 of the family's 1533-position model. The record is from RNAcentral.